UGGGACCAAAACUCCCAAAAUCAAUACCAACCUUCUUUUUAUGGUCAUAAACCUUGUGUUUAAAUUUCAUAGAUUUCUAUUUACUUAUACUAACGUUAUGGUGCGAAAACCAAGAAAAAUGCUUAUUUGGGUCCCUUUUUGGCCCCUAAUUCCUAAACUGUUGGGCCCUAAACUCCCAAAAUCAAUACCAACCUUCCUUUUGUAGUCAUUAACAUUGUGUUUAAAUUUCAUUGAUUUCUAUUUACUUAAACUAAAGUUAUUGUGCGAAAACCAAGAAUAAUGCUUAUUU
RNAcentral lists this long non-coding RNA (289 nucleotides) under Mytilus galloprovincialis (Mediterranean mussel). Lineage: Eukaryota; Metazoa; Mollusca; Bivalvia; Mytilida; Mytilidae. The record is from RNAcentral.